Molecule: ribosomal RNA, 427 nt
Filed under: uncultured bacterium
Lineage: Bacteria
Description: bacterial SSU rRNA
Rfam family: Bacterial small subunit ribosomal RNA
Source: RNAcentral
UGGGGAAUUUUGGACAAUGGGCGAAAGCCUGAUCCAGCCAUGCCGCGUGAGUGAAGAAGGCCUUCGGGUUGUAAAGCUCUUUCAGGUGGAAAGAAAACGCAUAGGUUAAUACCUUGUGCGGAUGACGGUACCAUCAGAAGAAGCACCGGCUAACUACGUGCCAGCAGCCGCGGUAAUACGUAGGGUGCGAGCGUUAAUCGGAAUUACUGGGCGUAAAGCGUGCGCAGGCGGUUAUGUAAGACAGAUGUGAAAUCCCCGGGCUCAACCUGGGAACUGCAUUUGUGACUGCAUGGCUAGAGUGUGGUAGAGGGAUGCGGAAUUUCUGGUGUAGCAGUGAAAUGCGUAGAGAUCAGAAGGAACACCGAUGGCGAAGGCAGCCUCCUGGGCCAGUACUGACGCUCAUGCACGAAAGCGUGGGGAGCAAACA